Molecule: ribosomal RNA, 469 nt
Filed under: uncultured bacterium
Lineage: Bacteria
Description: partial 16S ribosomal RNA
Rfam family: Bacterial small subunit ribosomal RNA
Source: RNAcentral
GACGAACGCUGGCGGCGUGCUUAACACAUGCAAGUCGAACGGAAAGGCCCUGCUUGCAGGGUGCUCGAGUGGCGAACGGGUGAGUAACACGUGGGUGAUCUGCCCCUUACUUUGGGAUAAGCCUGGGAAACUGGGUCUAAUACUGGAUAGGACCAUGCUGUAGGUGGUGUGGUGGAAAGAUUAGUUUCGGUAAGGGAUGAGCUCGCGGCCUAUCAGCUUGUUGGUGGGGUAAUGGCCUACCAAGGCGUCGACGGGUAGCCGGCCUGAGAGGGUGGACGGCAACAUUGGGACUGAGAUACGGCCCAGACUCCUACGGGAGGCAGCAGUGGGGAAUAUUGCACAAUGGGCGCAAGCCUGAUGCAGCGACGCCGCGUGGGGGAUGACGGCCUUCGGGUUGUAAACUCCUUUCAGCCAUGACGAAGCCCUUGUGGUGACGGUAGUGGUAGAAGGAGCACCGGCUAACUACGUG